UGGGGAAUCUUGGACAAUGGGCGCAAGCCUGAUCCAGCAAUGCCGCGUGAGUGAAGAAGGCCUUCGGGUUGUAAAGCUCUUUUGUCAGGGAAGAAACGGUAGUAGCGAAUAACUAUUACUAAUGACGGUACCUGAAGAAUAAGCACCGGCUAACUACGUGCCAGCAGCCGCGGUAAUACGUAGGGUGCAAGCGUUAAUCGGAAUUACUGGGCGUAAAGCGUGCGCAGGCGGUUGUGUAAGUCAGAUGUGAAAUCCCCGGGCUCAACCUGGGAAUUGCAUUUGAGACUGCACGGCUAGAGUGUGUCAGAGGGGGGUAGAAUUCCACGUGUAGCAGUGAAAUGCGUAGAUAUGUGGAGGAAUACCGAUGGCGAAGGCAGCCCCCUGGGAUAACACUGACGCUCAUGCACGAAAGCGUGGGGAGCAAACAGGAUUAGAUACCCAAGUAGUCCCUGAGCGGGCUGGCAAGGCGCAU
This 472-nucleotide ribosomal RNA is filed under the name uncultured bacterium. RNAcentral's name for it is "bacterial SSU rRNA". It matches the Rfam family "Bacterial small subunit ribosomal RNA", at positions 355 to 825 of the family's 1533-position model. The record is from RNAcentral.